This 465-nucleotide ribosomal RNA is filed under the name uncultured bacterium. RNAcentral's name for it is "partial 16S ribosomal RNA". It matches the Rfam family "Bacterial small subunit ribosomal RNA", at positions 338 to 795 of the family's 1533-position model. The record is from RNAcentral.
CCUACGGGAGGCAGCAGUGGGGAAUAUUGCGCAAUGGGCGAAAGCCUGACGCAGCGACGCCGCGUGAGGGAUGAAGGUCUUCGGAUCGUAAACCUCUUUCAGCAGGGAAGAACGGUCACUGUGCUAAUCAGCAGUGAAUUGACGGUACCUGCAAAGGUAGCACCGGCUAACUCCGUGCCAGCAGCCGCGGUAAUACGGAAGGUGCGUGCGUUAAUCGUAAUGACUGGGCGUAAAGCGCUCGUAGGCGGUAUGUCAAGUCAAGGGUGAAAUCCCCGGGCUAAACGUGGGAACUGCCUUUGAAACUGGCAAACGUGAGUGUGUGAGAGGAUAGUGGAAGGCCAGGUGGAGGAGUGAAAUCCGUAGAUAUCUGGAGGAACAUCAGUGGCGAAGGCGACUAUCUGGCACAUAACUGACGCUGAGGAGCGAAAGCGUGGGUAGCAAACAGGAUUAGAUACCCGUGUAGUC